This is a non-coding RNA of Methanosarcina sp. MTP4, 77 nucleotides long. NCBI's taxonomy places the organism in Archaea, Methanobacteriati, Methanobacteriota, Methanomicrobia, Methanosarcinales, Methanosarcinaceae. The record is from Rfam.
UUGAGCUGUAUGAGGUGAAAGUCUCACGUACAGUUCUUAGGCGAGAAAGGGGGAGCAAUCCCCCCGACUUAGCCGAC